GGGGGUUUAGCUCAGCUGGGAGAGCACCUGCCUUGCAAGCAGGGGGUCAGCGGUUCGAUCCCGCUAACCUCCACCA
Molecule: transfer RNA, 76 nt
Filed under: Desulfosporosinus sp. OT
Lineage: Bacteria; Bacillati; Bacillota; Clostridia; Eubacteriales; Desulfitobacteriaceae
Also listed under: 6 other names
Description: tRNA-Ala
Rfam family: tRNA
About the family: Transfer RNA (tRNA) molecules are approximately 80 nucleotides in length. Their secondary structure includes four short double-helical elements and three loops (D, anti-codon, and T loops).
Source: RNAcentral